CACGUAGGGUGCGAGCGUUGUCCGGAAUUAUUGGGCGUAAAGAGCUCGUAGGCGGUGUGUCGCGUCGGCCGUGAAAACCUGCAGCUUAACUGUGGGCUCGCGGUCGAUACGGGCAGACUAGAGUUCGGUAGGGGAGACUGGAAUUCCCGGUGUAGCGGUGAAAUGCGCAGAUAUCAGGAGGAACACCGGUGGCGAAGGCGGGUCUCUGGGCCGAAACUGACGCUGAGGAGCGAAAGCGUGGGGAGCAAACAGG
This 253-nucleotide ribosomal RNA is filed under the name uncultured bacterium. Its description in RNAcentral is "partial 16S ribosomal RNA". It matches the Rfam family "Bacterial small subunit ribosomal RNA", at positions 524 to 776 of the family's 1533-position model. The record is from RNAcentral.